GGCCUAUUGAUCUAGUGGGAGUGAUACCUGUUUCUCAGACAGGAGGCGAGGGUCCGAUUCCCUCAUAGGCUA
This 72-nucleotide transfer RNA is filed under the name Candidatus Omnitrophota bacterium. RNAcentral describes it as "tRNA-Glu". It matches the Rfam family "tRNA". Rfam says of the family: Transfer RNA (tRNA) molecules are approximately 80 nucleotides in length. The record is from RNAcentral. Lineage: Bacteria; Pseudomonadati; Candidatus Omnitrophota.